AGGGCGAACGCUGGCGGCGUGCUUAACACAUGCAAGUCGAGCGGAAAGGCCCUUCGGGGUACUCGAGCGGCGAACGGGUGAGUAACACGUGAGUAAUCUGCCCCUAGCUCUGGGAUAGCUCCGGGAAACCGGGAUUAAUACUGGAUACGACCACCUUAGACAUCUUUUGUGGUGGAAAGAAUUUCGGCUAGGGAUGAGCUCGCGGCCUAUCAGCUUGUUGGUGGGGUAACGGCCUACCAAGGCGACGACGGGUA
This 254-nucleotide ribosomal RNA is filed under the name uncultured bacterium. Its description in RNAcentral is "partial small subunit ribosomal RNA". It matches the Rfam family "Bacterial small subunit ribosomal RNA", at positions 26 to 285 of the family's 1533-position model. The record is from RNAcentral.